RNAcentral lists this ribosomal RNA (301 nucleotides) under uncultured bacterium. RNAcentral's name for it is "partial 16S ribosomal RNA". It matches the Rfam family "Bacterial small subunit ribosomal RNA", at positions 509 to 807 of the family's 1533-position model. The record is from RNAcentral.
CAGCAGCCGCGGGAAUACGAAGGGUGCAAGCGUUACUCGGAAUUACUGGGCGUAAAGCGUGUGUAGGUGGUUGUUUAAGUCUGUCGUGAAAGCCCUGGGCUCAACCUGGGAACUGCGAUGGAUACUGGGCGACUAGAGUGCGGUAGAGGAUAGUGGAAUUUCCGGUGUAGCAGUGAAAUGCGUAGAGAUCGGAAGGAACAUCUGUGGCGAAGGCGACUAUCUGGGCCAACACUGACACUGAGACACGAAAGCGUGGGGAGCAAACAGGAUUAGAUACCCGCGUAGUCCCUGUCUCUUAUAC